RNAcentral lists this transfer RNA (82 nucleotides) under Synechococcus sp. JA-2-3B'a(2-13). RNAcentral's name for it is "tRNA-Leu". It matches the Rfam family "tRNA". Rfam says of the family: Transfer RNA (tRNA) molecules are approximately 80 nucleotides in length. Their secondary structure includes four short double-helical elements and three loops (D, anti-codon, and T loops). The record is from RNAcentral. Lineage: Bacteria; Bacillati; Cyanobacteriota; Cyanophyceae; Synechococcales; Synechococcaceae.
GAGUGACGUGGCGGAACGGCAGACGCGCUAGACUUAGGAUCUAGUGCCGCAAGGCGUAAGGGUUCAAGUCCCUUCGUCCGCA